GACGAACGCUGGCGGCGUGCUUAACACAUGCAAGUCGAACGGAAAGGCUCCAGCUUGCUGGAGUACUCGAGUGGCGAACGGGUGAGUAACACGUGGGUGAUCUGCCCUGCACUUCGGGAUAAGCCUGGGAAACUGGGUCUAAUACCGGAUAGGACCGCACUUUGGUGUGUGUGGUGGAAAGGUUUUUCUGGUGUGGGAUGAGCUCGCGGCCUAUCAGUUUGUUGGUGGGGUAAUGGCCUACCAAGACGGCGACGGGUAGCCGGCCUGAGAGGGUGGACGGUCACAUUGGGACUGAGAUACGGCCCAGACUCCUACGGGAGGCAGCAGGGGGGAAUAUUGCACAAUGGGGGAAACCCUGAUGCAGCGACGCCGCGUGGGGGAUGAAGGCCUUCGGGUUGUAAACUCCUUUCGCUAGGGACGAAGCUUUUUGUGACGGUACCUGGAGAAGAAGCACCGGCUAACUACGUG
Molecule: ribosomal RNA, 468 nt
Filed under: uncultured bacterium
Lineage: Bacteria
Description: partial 16S ribosomal RNA
Rfam family: Bacterial small subunit ribosomal RNA
Source: RNAcentral